RNAcentral lists this ribosomal RNA (250 nucleotides) under uncultured prokaryote. RNAcentral describes it as "partial 16S ribosomal RNA". It matches the Rfam family "Bacterial small subunit ribosomal RNA", at positions 524 to 773 of the family's 1533-position model. The record is from RNAcentral.
UACGGAGGAUGCAAGCGUUAUCCGGAUUUAUUGGGUUUAAAGGGUGCGCAGGCGGCGCGUUAAGUCAGCGGUGAAAUCUCAUGGCUCAACCAUGGAACUGCCGUUGAUACUGGCGUGCUCGAGUACGGACGGCGCCGGCGGAAUGUGUCAUGUAGCGGUGAAAUGCUUAGAUAUGCCACAGAACACCGAUCGCGAAGGCAGCUGGCGAGGCCGGAACUGACGCUCAGGCACGAAAGCGUGGGGAUCAAAC